GUAACGGUCCAGCAAGGCCACAAGCCUUCAGGCAGGAGGGGUUGGCAGUAGAGGGUGGCUUCCUGCUGUGUCCAGGUGGCUUCCUGCUGUGUCCAGCACACAUUACUUCUCAGGACAGUGCAAUUUUCGGAGCCAGGCCAGGAGCCUACAGAUGCGGGGGAGGGCGGCCCUGCUUCCUGCUGUGUCUGGAACAUGCUGGGUCUUGGGAAGAGAGUGAUUUUUUCCCUGCCUGUUUUGAUGACAGGAAAAAUGCAGUCACGUGAGCAGUCAAAGGAUAAUCUUGGCACAUUGUAAUGAUGCUCCAGCAUCAGAAGUUGACCAGAAUUGAUGCAGAAUUGGAGAAGAUGAAGGAAAGAUCAUAUAAAUACUGGAUUCAAGUGCUAAAGAGAGUAGUUGCUGUAAUAAGAUUCCUUGCUGAAUGGGACUAGCCUUUUGUGGGGAUACUGAAAUGCACAGCUGCCUUAGUUGCAAUGAACUUCUAACUAAAUUUGAUCCGUUUCUCUCAAAACACAUGCAAUGACAUGGAAAUCCAGGAAAAGGCUUCAUCCCAUAGAUGGUCUAAACAUGAAGCAAAAUGCCUACGUUGUACAAAGCCCAUGAGAAACAAGAUGGUCUGCACAGAGCGAUGCCACCAGAGCACUUUACAUAAACUGUUCUGAAAUUCAUCAGGCUUUGAUAGACAUAGCUGAAAGUGAUCAACAACCACCAGCAGCUGUCCAUGAGGCAGUCACUGACUAAGAAGCUGGAUCAGUUGGAGAUAACGUUGAUGUGCGUCAUUUGGAAUGACAUAGUACAAAAGAAUAAUCUUGUGGAUAAAGCUCUACAGGAGCCUGGCAUUGAGUUGUGCACUGUCAUGAAUUUACAGAGGGUUUUUAGAACACUUUCGUGAUUCCCGUGAUAAAUUUCAUAUGUUUGAGGCAAUUGCAAAAGAUCUCACACCAACCGACUACAAUGAGACUACACAACGCGACAGACCAAUUUUUGGAUGAAGUCUAUAUGGGUAGCAUUGUCUUGGAUUUGUGUACCAGUGACAAAUUUCACACAUGGUGCUUCUAUUUUAUCACGGAUAAACUUAUUGUUAAGA
This is a non-coding RNA of Pelodiscus sinensis (Chinese soft-shelled turtle), 1084 nucleotides long. Lineage: Eukaryota; Metazoa; Chordata; Testudines; Trionychidae. The record is from RefSeq and is a predicted model, not a curated record.